Molecule: ribosomal RNA, 292 nt
Filed under: uncultured bacterium
Lineage: Bacteria
Description: partial 16S ribosomal RNA
Rfam family: Bacterial small subunit ribosomal RNA
Source: RNAcentral
GUGCCAGCAGCCGCGGUAAUACGUAGGUGGCAAGCGUUGUCCGGAAUUAUUGGGCGUAAAGCGCGCGCAGGCGGCCUUUUAAGUCUGAUGUGAAAGCCCCCGGCUCAACCGGGGAGGGUCAUUGGAAACUGGAAGGCUUGAGUACAGAAGAGAAGAGUGGAAUUCCAUGUGUAGCGGUGAAAUGCGUAGAGAUGUGGAGGAACACCAGUGGCGAAGGCGACUCUUUGGUCUGUAACUGACGCUGAGGCGCGAAAGCGUGGGGAGCAAACAGGAUUAGAAACCCUCGUAGUCC